This 261-nucleotide ribosomal RNA is filed under the name uncultured archaeon. RNAcentral describes it as "partial 16S ribosomal RNA". It matches the Rfam family "Archaeal small subunit ribosomal RNA", at positions 721 to 982 of the family's 1478-position model. The record is from RNAcentral.
CACUGACAUUAGAUACCCCCGUAGUCCAGGGUGUAAACGCUGCAGACUUGGUGUUGGGGGCCCUUUGGGGGCAUUCAGUGCCGGAGAGAAGUUGUUAAGUCUGCUACUUGGGGAGUACGUCCGCAAGGAUGAAACUUAAAGGAAUUGGCGGGGGAGCACCGCAACGGGAGGAGCGUGCGGUUUAAUUGGAUUCAACACCGUAAACUCACCAGGGAAGACUGUUACAUGAAGGCCGAGAUGAAGACUCUGCUAGAUUUUCAG